UGUCAAGUGCGUGCAAUCUUUUUCACUUG
RNAcentral lists this non-coding RNA (29 nucleotides) under Rattus norvegicus (Norway rat). The record is from RNAcentral. Lineage: Eukaryota; Metazoa; Chordata; Mammalia; Rodentia; Muridae.